GUGAAGCGUAAAUGAUGUCGCGUAAAUGACGCCCAAAUGGGACAGACCCUUAAGAGGCAAGAUAUAGAUAAUGGCCAGACCCUUAACAGCAUUGAUCAACAGAGGGAUCUUGAUGUCUUAGUCCGCAGCUGCCUAGAGCCUGCCAGUCCAGAUUUCAGCAACGAGGCUCAGGAGACUUACCAAGCCCUGAGGCAGUUUGACUGAAUAUCAAGAAAAUCCUUUGGAAACACAGAAACCUUUGUGAAAAGAUGAAUAACUUACUUGGAGUCAAUAAAUUGUUGUUUCCUUAACCUAUA
This is a long non-coding RNA of Amblyraja radiata (thorny skate), 296 nucleotides long. RefSeq lists it as uncharacterized. The record is from RefSeq and is a predicted model, not a curated record. The transcript has 2 exons. NCBI's taxonomy places the organism in Eukaryota, Metazoa, Chordata, Chondrichthyes, Rajiformes, Rajidae.